AGAGUUUGAUCCUGGCUCAGGACGAACGCUGGCGGCGUGCUUAACACAUGCAAGUCGAACGGAAUCCAUGGUGUAGCAAUACAUCGGAAGAUUUAGUGGCGAACGGGUGAGGAUCACGUGAGAAACGUGCCCCAGACUCUGGGAUAACAAUUGGAAACGAUUGCUAAUACCGGAUGACGUCGGAGAAUCGCAUGGUUCACUGACGAAAGAUAUUUCGGUUUGGGAGCGUCUCGCGGCCUAUCAGCUUGUUGGUGGGGUAAUGGCCUACCAAGGCAACGACGGGUAGCUGGUCUGAGAGGAUGAUCAGCCACACUGGGACUGAGACACGGCCCAGACUCCUACGGGAGGCAGCAGUGAGGAAUCUUGCGCAAUGGGCGAAAGCCUGACGCAGCAACGCCGCGUGCGGGAUGAAGGCCUUCGGGCUGUAAACCGCUUUCAGCAGGAACGAAAAUGACGGUACCUGCAGAAGAAGGAGCGGCCAACUACGUGCCAGCAGCCGCGGUGACACGUAGGCUCCAAGCGUUGUCCGGAUUUAUUGGGCGUAAAGAGCUCGUAGGCGGUUGAGUAAGUCGGGUGUGAAAACUCUGGGCUUAACCCGGAGACGCCAUCCGAUACUGCUCUGACUAGAGUUCAGGANGGGAGUGGGGAAUUCCUAGUGUAGCGGUGNNNUGCGCAGAUANNNNNNNGAA
RNAcentral lists this ribosomal RNA (689 nucleotides) under uncultured bacterium. RNAcentral's name for it is "bacterial SSU rRNA". It matches the Rfam family "Bacterial small subunit ribosomal RNA", at positions 8 to 706 of the family's 1533-position model. The record is from RNAcentral.